Molecule: ribosomal RNA, 400 nt
Filed under: uncultured bacterium
Lineage: Bacteria
Description: bacterial SSU rRNA
Rfam family: Bacterial small subunit ribosomal RNA
Source: RNAcentral
UGGGGAAUCUUGCGCAAUGCGCGAAAGCGUGACGCAGCAACACCGCGUGAGGGAAGACGGCCCUAGGGUUGUAAACCUCUUUCAGAUGGGACGAAGGUUGUCCGGUGAAUAGCCGAGAUAAUUGACGGUACCGUCAGAAGAAGCUCCGGCUAACUACGUGCCAGCAGCCGCGGUAAUACGUAGGGAGCGAGCGUUGUCCGGAAUCAUUGGGCGUAAAGAGCAUGUAGGUGGAUCAAUAAGUCUGCUGUGAAAGUCGAAGGCUCAACCUUCGAAAGCCGGUGGAUACUGUUGAUCUAGAGUACGGAAGAGGCGAGUGGAAUUCCUGGUGUAGCGGUGGAAUGCGCAGAUAUCAGGAGGAACACCAAUAGCGAAGGCAGCUCGCUGGGACGUAACUGACACU